GACGAACGCUGGCGGCAUGCCUAACACAUGCAAGUCGAACGAGGCCUUCGGGUCUUGUGUCUCAGGGGUGCUUAAGGCGUGGGAACCUGCCCUUAGGUUCGGUAUCUCUCCCCGAAAGGGAUCCUUAUACCGGGUUAUCUCUUCGCGCCAAAGAUUUAUCGCCUUUUGAUGGUCCCGCGUUGGAUUAGCUUGUUGGUCUAGUAGAUGCCUACCAAGGCUAAGAUCCAUAGCUGGUCUGAGAGGAUGAUCAGCACCACUGGGACUGAGACACGGACCAGACUCCUACGAGAGGAAGCAGUGGGGAAUAAUGGACAAUGGGCGAAAGACUGAGCCAGCAAUGUCGCGUGAGUGUGGAAGGACUUAGGGUUGUAAAGCUCUUUUAACAGGGAUGACAAUGACAGUACCGGGAGAAUAAGCGACGGCUAACUCCGUG
RNAcentral lists this ribosomal RNA (433 nucleotides) under uncultured bacterium. Its description in RNAcentral is "partial 16S ribosomal RNA". It matches the Rfam family "Bacterial small subunit ribosomal RNA", at positions 28 to 507 of the family's 1533-position model. The record is from RNAcentral.